AUUGCGGAGAUCCGCUCUUCGGUAGAUUCUUGGAGUUGCGGUUAAUUAGUCAUGCCAAUCAAUCGGAAUACACGCGAAUGCAGAUUGGAUCAACGCGCGGUCACCGGCAAAGGAAAAAGGUAUACGAAAACAGAGAAUCGCGACGACGACGACGACGAGAUGACGACGAUGGCGACGCGGCGGCGAGAUUUACAUUUGAACCUCGCGAGUCAGAGGUCACCCGCGUGGCAGAGCUAUAGGAUCACGACAGGCGCGGUUUAUUCGCCAUCGUCCGCCACGAUACACGCACAGCACAUCGAAUAAAUAGCAAGUAGCACGGCAUAAAUAACACUUCUUCUACUACGGUACCGCCACGUGAAAGAGGGAGAGCGAGAGAGAGAGAGAGAGAGAGUCGUGUACACACAUUCACGCUUCCUUCGCGACGCAGAGUCUUCAAUACCUCUCGAGACAUGGAAUAAAUUUUUGCAAUCACUCUCUGCAAGAAUUAUUGAACGUUUUAUGUCAUUUUCAACUUUGUCAAGAAGUUAACACACUGAUUGUGGCAGAAUCUUUUAAAACGCUUGUAAAAGAUAUGUAAUGCCAAAAGAAAAUGCUGUCUAAUAAAAAAUUGUAUGUAAAUAA
This is a long non-coding RNA of Wasmannia auropunctata (little fire ant), 621 nucleotides long. RefSeq lists it as uncharacterized. The transcript has 3 exons. Lineage: Eukaryota; Metazoa; Arthropoda; Insecta; Hymenoptera; Formicidae. The record is from RefSeq and is a predicted model, not a curated record.